This is a long non-coding RNA of Camelina sativa (false flax), 457 nucleotides long. RefSeq lists it as uncharacterized. The record is from RefSeq and is a predicted model, not a curated record. Lineage: Eukaryota; Viridiplantae; Streptophyta; Magnoliopsida; Brassicales; Brassicaceae.
CCUACUAGUAUAUAUCACCAGAUCUUCUAUACAUGAAAUUCAUUGUUAUAUCUUGUCAUUUAAGUAAAAUCAAAAAUUAUAGGGAAAUUGCAUAUACGAAGGAGUAUAUAUAUUACUUUAAGUGUUAAGAACUGUUCAAACAUAUUUCUUUCACAACCGCAAAAUAAACAAAACACUAAUACAAAAAUGGCUUCAUCAUGCAAAACUUUAUUUUUUGUGUUCUUGUGUGUGGCUGUUUUCUUAUACCCAAAAACUGCAGAGGCUGACGAAUCACAGAGACAUGGAUUAUUUGUCAUUGGCUCUUGCUCGAAAAUUUCAGACUGUAACAAAAAAUGCAUCGAAAUGCAAUUUGCAAGCGGGAGAUGUCUGAAAGUGACCCCCCAAGCCACUGAUUUAUCAUGCUGUUGUGAUCUAUAAUAAAGCUAUCAAAAUAAAAUGUUGAGUCUUUAAAAUAAUA